This 87-nucleotide transfer RNA is filed under the name Sutterella wadsworthensis. RNAcentral describes it as "tRNA-Leu". It matches the Rfam family "tRNA". Rfam says of the family: Transfer RNA (tRNA) molecules are approximately 80 nucleotides in length. Their secondary structure includes four short double-helical elements and three loops (D, anti-codon, and T loops). Further hydrogen bonds mediate the characteristic L-shaped molecular structure. tRNAs have two regions of fundamental functional importance: the anti-codon, which is responsible for specific mRNA codon recognition, and the 3' end, to which the tRNAs corresponding amino acid is attached (by aminoacyl-tRNA synthetases). tRNAs cope with the degeneracy of the genetic code in two manners: having more than one tRNA (with a specific anti-codon) for a particular amino acid; and 'wobble' base-pairing, i.e. permitting non-standard base-pairing at the 3rd anti-codon position. The record is from RNAcentral. Lineage: Bacteria; Pseudomonadati; Pseudomonadota; Betaproteobacteria; Burkholderiales; Sutterellaceae. RNAcentral also lists the same sequence under 8 other names.
GCCCGGGUGGCGAAAUUGGUAGACGCACCAGCUUCAGGUGCUGGCGGCUUCACGGCCGUGAAGGUUCGAGUCCUUUCCCGGGCACCA